This 1326-nucleotide ribosomal RNA is filed under the name Triticum aestivum (bread wheat). Its description in RNAcentral is "partial small subunit ribosomal RNA". The record is from RNAcentral. Lineage: Eukaryota; Viridiplantae; Streptophyta; Magnoliopsida; Poales; Poaceae.
AUGUUGGCUGAAUUUGACCCAGUUAUCAAAGAGCAUGUUGACCGCAUCACCAAUGAAAAAAUUCGUGAUCACUACCUUGGCCCUUCUAUACAGAAUGAGUUAAUAAACAUGCUCGCUACUGCCAUCAGGUCAAGAAUCAUUGAAAAGGUAAAGGAAGCAAAAUAUUUCUCAGUUAUUCUUGAUUGUACUCCUGAUGCAAGCCACCAAGAACAAAUGUCUUUUAUAAUUAGGUAUGUAGAUACAUCUUCUGCUUCUGUUUGCAUCGAAGAAUUUUUCUUAGGCUUUUUGGAGGUGAAUGAUACCACUGGGCAAGGUUUGUUUAAUGUUCUAGAAGAGGAGUUGAAUAAUCUUAGCCUUGAUGUGGACAAUGUGAGAGGGGAGGGUUAUGAUAAUGGGUCAAAUAUGAAAGGAAACGAUAAAGGGGUACAAAAGAAAUUUCUGGACAAAUAUCCAAGGGCAUUUUAUUCAGCUUGUGGUUGUCAUAGUCUAAAUCUGGCACUAUGCGAUAUGGCGAAGUCUUGUCGUAAAGCAACAGACUUCUUUGGAAUUAUACAACGCUUCUAUACAAUAUUUGCUAAUUCGACUAAACGAUGGCAAAUUCUCAAAGAUAACUUAAAGAAGUUGACUGUCAAGUCAUUGUCAUCUACUCGUUGGGAGAGUCAUGUUGAGAGUGUUAAGGCUAUACGGAUUCAAAUGCCAGAAAUAAGAGAGGCUUUACUACAAGUGGCUGAAACUGAUAAGGAUCCAUUGACAAGUAGUGAAGCACAAUCAUUGGCAGAAAAUGAACUUGGUGGUUUUGAAUUUUUAGUGUCAAUAAUUAUCUGGUAUGAUAUAUUAUCCGCUGUUAAUUUGGUCAGCAAGCAACUACAAUCAAAGGACAUGCUUAUUGAUAUUGCAAUUGAGUCUAUACAGGGUCUACUUUCCUUUUUCAAGAAGUAUAGAGAAACUGGCUUUUCAAAAGCAUUGGAAGAUGCAAAAGAAAUUGCACUUGAGAUGGAUAUUCAUCCAGAGUUUCGCACCAAGCGGAAAAUCAAAAGAAGAAGACAAUUCGAUGAGGGUGCAGAUGAUGCAUCUAUUGCUUCACAAUCUGCAGAGGAGUCAUUUAGGGUCAAUUAUUUUCUGCAAGUGGUCGAUCAAGCUAUAGUUUCACUUACCAGGAGGUUUGAGCAAUAUCAGGGGUAUGAAAAAACUUUCGGUUUCUUAUUUACUUUAGAUAGGCUGCGAUCUAUGGAUGAUAAGAGUUUGCUGGCUGCUUGUGUUAAUCUUGAGGAUGCACUUAAGAGUGGAGAACACAAAGAUAUUGAUGGAGCUGAAUUGUUUUACUAG